AUAUCGAAUCUUGAUGGGGAAUAAUGUGCAAAUCAUUAGCUGUUCCUGCAACGGUAAAAGACCGAGUGCCAUCCGAUACAGACCGUUGUCGAAUGAAGGCCAGGAAAAGUCUAGUUCUACAAUUUAAAA
Molecule: non-coding RNA, 129 nt
Filed under: unclassified sequences
Source: RNAcentral